This 464-nucleotide ribosomal RNA is filed under the name uncultured bacterium. Its description in RNAcentral is "partial 16S ribosomal RNA". It matches the Rfam family "Bacterial small subunit ribosomal RNA", at positions 28 to 507 of the family's 1533-position model. The record is from RNAcentral.
GACGAACGCUGGCGGCGUGCCUAACACAUGCAAGUCGAGCGAAUGAAGUUCCUUCGGGAAUGGAUUUAGCGGCGGACGGGUGAGUAACACGUGGGCAACCUGCCUCAUAGAGGGGAAUAGCCUCCCGAAAGGGAGAUUAAUACCGCAUAAGAUUGUAGUACCGCAUGAUACAGCAAUUAAAGGAGCAAUCCGCUAUGAGAUGGGCCCGCGGCGCAUUAGCUAGUUGGUGAGGUAAUGGCUCACCAAGGCGACGAUGCGUAGCCGACCUGAGAGGGUGAUCGGCCACAUUGGGACUGAGACACGGCCCAGACUCCUACGGGAGGCAGCAGUGUGGAAUAUUGCACAAUGGGGGAAACCCUGAUGCAGCAACGCCGCGUGAGUGAUGACGGCCUUCGGGUUGUAAAGCUCUGUCUUCAGGGACGAUAAUGACGGUACCUGAGGAGGAAGCCACGGCUAACUACGUG